RNAcentral lists this long non-coding RNA (4883 nucleotides) under Lactuca sativa (garden lettuce). RNAcentral's name for it is "long non-coding RNA (LSAT_LNC008078)". The record is from RNAcentral. Lineage: Eukaryota; Viridiplantae; Streptophyta; Magnoliopsida; Asterales; Asteraceae.
UGACCACAGUCUGCUAUCACCGUCUUGGUUUUGUAUUUUUGAAGUCAAAAGGUUCAAGAUUUCAACCAAGAUUCUACCCCCAAAUCUUACACAUCAGUCGAGAUUCACAGCUUAGAAAAACAGAUAAAUCGUUGUCGACGGACAUUGUAGAAUCCAACGGUAACAACUCAGCAGAAGCCUCUGAUCGGUCAAUUUCUACCCAUUCUUUCAUGGAAUCCAAUAUGGUAAAGUAAAUGUCGUACUCACCCUCUUCUCCUUCCUCUUUCGCCCUUGACCUCGUUGUAUUUCUGAACCUAAUUUGAGUAGGUAUGCUGCUGAUAAUUUCCCCUCAUGUCUUGGUGAUGACUUUCAAUCGAAGGGGGUGGAGCUCCAGGCAAGUUACCCUUAUAUAAACAUGUUUUUUGAAUGGAUUGUUUUUGCUCUUAUAAUAAUAGUAAAGUACCAUUAGUAUCAUGAUUGAGAAAUCUCGCAUGCUGUUAGUUAUUUUAUCUUUUACAGCCAUACCCUACUUUACAUGUACAGUGACUAUGCUAAAGUUCCAAGAACCGGAAUAAUCCCUAAAUUGCUUGUUCCAUGAAGCUUGAUGUACCAUGCCCUAAUAAUUCAUCCAAGUGUUUGCUAACUAGUAACUUCCAUGCCUAUGUUUCAUAAGCUUUUCAUUUUUCUUUGAUUGAGCAAACAGUCUGGGGACACUCUUUGAGGCAUAUAAACUUGGUAAAGAUGCUCACAAGCAGCACCCACCUGCCCAAACAUCUUGCCUAUUUUGUAUUUACAAAAGUGUAGAUGAAGGUUUUAGAUUUUUAUGCGUAAUUGUUCUCGAAUGUAAUUUGGUUCAAGUCCUACUACAAACUGUGCGUAAUUAGUAUUAGUUUGAAUUUUGGGAAACCUUAAUUACUACCAAGUUGUAUGUUUAUUGGAAUGAAUUUGGUUAUGCAUUUACAGAAAAGGUUAACAAAACUUCAUUGCAUUUAGAACUGGAAUAUGAAUUUUUGUAGUUUAAGCCUGAUGGUUCAUAAAGUAAAGUACUUUUGCAGAGUCUAGAGUUGUAUCAAGUAAUACAACGGUUAUGAAUUAGGUGACUACCAUUGCAGUUACCACAUGAUCAUUUGACAAAUAUUGUCUGUCUAAUACUUUUUUUCUAUAACUUUAAUAGCGACCUCAAAUCUUGCAUACACUUUCUAUUGGCAGCAUGCUGAGUUUGGUUUUGCUUCUUUAAGUAAACCAGUUGCAGGUCUGACAACUGCUUGUUUCAUCAUCCUUUCUUUUCAUUGGUCACAUUAGUUUACAUUUUAGGCCCCUAGACAUUAUUUCUCCAUUGUAGGUAUAAUGUAGUAUGUCAAUGUCAAUAUGUCAUCUCAUACUUAGUUGGGUGAAUUCGCAUCACUAUAAAGUUAAUCUUGGGUGGGUUAUCCUUGGGGUACCACAUAUGUGUGAGACUAGCAUCAAAGAAAAUUCAUACUUGUUUUAUGUUUUUACCAUGAUACUAACAACAUUGAUCUUAUUCAAUUCUACUUGAAAAUGCAGAGUCAAAAUCAUUAUUCACAUAUAAUGGGUGUCUGUUGUACUUUUAGCAUUCGGGAUUGGUGGGUGUUGGUGGAGGUUUUAGUACGAGCAUGUGUGGGAUAGCCAUGCUUAUCAUCAGGUAAGUUUGUCUGCAACCGUUGUUUAACUUUUCUAAUUCUUUCUUCCUUGCCUUUUGAAGAAAGUAUGAAACACAAAAAUAAUCAGAAAGUAUUGAUUAGAAACUGACAUGAGUUAGUAAAUGUUUCUCAGACUAAGUAAAAGAAUCCAAUAUAUUUCAUACGUUUAAAUUGAACGAUCUCUAUGUCUUGGAAUUAUAUUACAACAAAUACUUGUAAUUUAAUUCAACAACUGGUUACAAAAAAAGCUUAUGAGUGAUUCGGAGGUGUCCUAUUUGAUGCAGAGUUUCCCUUUGGUUAUUUGUUUGUUGCAUAAUUUCAUGUUUUUUUUUUUUUUUUUUUUUGAAAGAGCUGCAUAAUUUCAUGUUGUUUGGAGAAUGGAAUGAUAAUUAUUCUGGCGGUCAUGGUGUUUACCGGCGACCGGGUUAUUAUUUUUCAGGCGGUCAAUGUGUUUUCCGGUGACAGGAGGAUGAUAAAGAAAGGGAUAAUGGGGGUGGCGUAGGGUCCAUUAGUAAUAUAUAAAAUAAUAUAGAAAAAUUAAUAAAUAUUAAAAAUAUCAUUAAGGGUAUUAUAGUCAUUUUACUUUGAUUAGGGACCAAAUCGAAACAAAAUCAAACCACAGGGACGGUCCGAGUUAGAAAAAAAGAGUUAGGGACCAUUCGUGUAAUUUUUCCUAAUUUAUAUGUUCAUUUAUGUUUCUUGACAAAAUAAUGUCACAUAUUCUGAAAAUAAGUUACAUAUAUUCGUAGUUUCUUUAAAAAGUCAACCUUACCAACCAAUAAAAAGAAAAGAUAAAAAGAAUUCAAUGUCUAAACUUCAAAAAUAUAAAAGAUAGAAAAACACAACCAUUUAUCUAGCGGCAUUAAGAAAACCCUUACAUUUUCUUUAUUUGCAGAACAACCCUUAUAUUUUCAGUUAUCUUUCGGAUUUACCUAAAUAUCUGUUUUUUAAAUAAGUUACCGGUUGUUUUGUGUCAUGAUAUUUAUGUUGUUCGUUUUUAGGUUGACAUGGGAAAAAAAUAAGUGAUGUCACUUAUUUUUGCUUGAGUAAACAGUCGUUGAGUAAAUGAUCUAUUUCUAAUGUUUUACCUUAGACAAGAGGCAAUGCCACUUAUUUUUUGUUUCCAUGUCAACCUAAAACGAAAAAGAUAAAUGUCAUGUCACAAAACAACCAUUAAUUUCUUAAAAAAACGGAUAUUUUGGUUAAUGUGAAAGAUAACUGAAAAUAUAAGAGUUUUUAUGCAUACAAACAAAAUGUAAGGGGUUUUUUGAAUGUUAGUAGAUAAAUGGUUGUCUUUUUAUGUAUUUUGCCCUAUUUGAAAAGUCGAGAAAAAAAGUCUAAUUUCUAAACUUAAAAGUAUGAUAUAUUAUAAGGAUCCAGAUACCAAACCCCCAUUUGGGUUUAGCCCAACAAGCCCCAUGUUUGGAAAGUUUAUGAGAGGAGGCCCAAGCCAUGUGUAGGGCAGUAGUGGAAAUAAGUUUGUUAGGAUAUACUGUCAGUAUACAACUAAGCUGAUAGCUGUUUAUUUUCUAAAAAGCAAAUUAACCAACAAAAAGACAAGAUAAAAAUAAUAGCAAAAGUAACCAAUCGGUAAAAAAGAAAGAGAGAAGGAUCCUAUAUCCAAACCUAGAAAACGUGGAAUACAACUCAACUCGUAGUUAUAUAAAUUUUAAUUUGUUAUGAAUCAAUCAAAAUUUGUCUUUGUAGGCAUUGAUGAUAUAAUGAAUCAUUUUUCGGUUUUGUAAAGCAUCCCAAUUCCCAACAAACCCAGAAACUGAUAUGGCAUCUAAAAGACUAAAACAGUUAUAUUUGACCUGUGGUGGAUCUCAUAUUCUCAAACCAACUUUAUUUGAAAUCUAAUCCCAUUAUCUUUUGGCAUGUGAUUACUCUAGAUAAAGUUUAUGUUCAUAAUAUAUUUAUAUUCAUUUAUGUUUCUUUACAAAAUAAUGGCACAUAUUGACAAUAAGUUUCAUAUAUAUGAUUCUUUAAAAAGUCAAUCAACCACUUAUUAAAGAGAAGAUGGGGCGGAGGAAAUAAGUUUGUGUAAAAUUAGACAUAGUCCUUUGUAAAAAAUAUUUAACGACACUAUUUAACACAAGGAUGUGGUGCAUGCAUAAAAGAAUCUUUUGAGGACCAAAUUCAUAGCUUUCACUCUAGUGCAAGGACAAAAUUUGUAAUUUACAGUAACAUAUUUGUAAUGAAUCAACAAUACAGUGUUAUGACGUGGAAAUUCAUUUUUUUGUUACUUUUGUCCUUUUCACGUUUUUGUGAUAUAUUUUGGAUAUCUAUGGAGCAAAAAUACAAUUAUUGUGGUUACUCAUUUUAAGGAGAUAAAUUAAUAAAUCAAAGACAGUUGUGUGGACCCUAUAACUACAAAAAGAUGGAAAAUCAUUAUUUAUAUAUAUUCAUUUUUGUUUUUGUUUGUUUUUUUUUUCUUGACAAAAUAAUGGAAAAUAUUUUAUAAAUAAUUAUAAUAUAUUUGUGUUUUUCUCAAAAAGUUACUCAACCAAUAAAAAGAAAAUAUAAAAAGAUUCCAAUGUUUGAACUUAUGGAAUAAAUAUAGAUUGAUUACUAAAUUUUGUCCCCUUAUGUUUUAAUUAGCGGUAAGUAGGUGAGAAUCAGUUUGUUAAGUUCUAUAUUUAAGUCUGGUGACCUCAUGAUUUAUGUCCCUCAUAUUUGUAGUAUAUAUAGUUGGUGGGGUCAUCCAGGGGAGACAUUUGUCUUUUCUUCUUUAAAAUGCAAAUAUAAAGAUGUCUAAUGACAAGAACAAGUCACCUAACAUUGGUUAAACAAAAUACUUUUUUAUUACAGACUUAAAGAAAUUUUAAAUUUGUAUAUUUCUUUGUAUUUUGUUACAAAGUAAUAUCAUAUAUUCAAUUUUAAAAAAAAAGUAUGAUAUAGUUUUAACAAUAAGGUUCAGUUAUUUCCAUCUCUUGCUUUCUUGUGAAAACUUUCCCUUCCAAAAGUGUCCUCCAUAUUUUCUUCAAAAAACAUGAGUUUAAUAAUGACAACUUCAAUUUGAAAACAACUUGAUUUAUUGAAAAUGUCGAGUGUUUCUUGAGAAUUUAGUAAAUUGAAAAUUUCUUGGAAACUCACAUGUNNNNNNNNNNNNNNNNNNNNNNNNNNNNNNNNNNNNNNNNNNNNNNNNNNNNNNNNNUAUAUAUAUAUAUAUAUAUAUAUAUGGGUCAUUUCAUUGAGUUGCUCAAAUAACAUACAUUCAAUCUCAAACAAAUUAACUUAUGG